AUGAACGCUAGCUACAGGCUUAACACAUGCAAGUCGAGGGGCAGCACAGUGUAGCAAUACACGGGUGGCGACCGGCGCACGGGUGCGUAACGCGUAUCCAACCUUCCCGUUACUCUUGGAUAGCCUUCCGAAAGGAGAUUAAUACAAGAUGGUAUUCAAAUUCCGCAUGUUAUUUGAAUUAAAGAUUUAUCGGUAACGGAUGGGGAUGCGUGACAUUAGCUAGAUGGAGAGGUAACGGCUCCCCAUGGCGACGAUGUCUAGGGGUUCUGAGAGGAAGGUCCCCCACACUGGAACUGAGACACGGUCCAGACUCCUACGGGAGGCAGCAGUGAGGAAUAUUGGACAAUGGAUGGAAAUCUGAUCCAGCCAUGCCGCGUGCAGGACUACAGUCCUAUGGAUUUUAAACUGCUUUUGUAUGGGAGCAAUAAGUGCUACGAGUAGCGCGAUGAGAGUACCAUACGAAUAAGCAUCGGCUAACUCCGUG
This 484-nucleotide ribosomal RNA is filed under the name uncultured bacterium. Its description in RNAcentral is "bacterial SSU rRNA". It matches the Rfam family "Bacterial small subunit ribosomal RNA", at positions 29 to 507 of the family's 1533-position model. The record is from RNAcentral.